Molecule: long non-coding RNA, 927 nt
Organism: Columba livia (rock pigeon)
Lineage: Eukaryota; Metazoa; Chordata; Aves; Columbiformes; Columbidae
Exons: 2
Source: RefSeq, a predicted model, not a curated record
CCCUGACAACCACUCUUGCAAACAGCUUGUUCUUGCCCAGGACAGGCCAAGCAGCCAUACCCAGCCUGCCUAGGCUUGCCCAAGCACCUUGGCCGGGGGUGAUGUGCUGCCACCUCAUUUGUUUGAUGAGCUGGUUGCUCAUACGCUGGAAGCUCAGGGAGCAGCAGAAAGCUGGGGUGCAACAAGUUGCAGCAAACAGACAAGAGGCAGGAAGCAACGUCCAGCAGAUGUAUUGCCUGCCCUGCAUGGUCUUCUCAGGACAGGCUACCUUCUCAAAGCAUUGACACUGGUGCUACUUCCAUUUGCUUCCCUCUUUUCAUCCCUUCAUUGAAAGCCAUGGCGAGUCACAACAGUUAUAUUUAUGUUUAACAGAGACAUGUUUUGUGUAAGAUAUUUUAUUUUCCCACGAGCUCUCUCAUCUGCUUAGUUGGGGAUGGCAGCUGGUGCUGCCAUGGUGGGGAGCAACUCCAGCUUGUUUUGCUCCACUGCUCCAUUUGCCUCUUCCACAGGGUUCCCAGCCAAACCAAAGACAGGAGCCAAAUGUAUCUUGCGCAGAGCAAUGGCUCCAGCUCCCCACCCCCAGCAUCUUGCUGACCUGGAGACCUCCGGGCAUAAACAAAGUGCAGUGUUAGUGGAAAAUCGGUGCAGCCCCCACAAGGUCUUUAGGAAACAUAAGAGCCUGGAUGGAGCCAGCUGUUCUGCGUGGGAAGGCAAGCGGUUAGCCCAGAUGAUGCAGAGGAGAAAGGCGAGCCAGAACCAGAGCACAUUAUUUGUCUUGUGGCCGAGAAGAUGAGUGGCUUGGGCUGGAUGUGGGCAAACGGUGCUUGGCCACAUUUUGAGGAGUGACCUCCAAGGCAAGCUGAAAGAGCUAUAGAUGUCAGCUUUUAUGGAAAAGAUGCUGGAAACUCCACAGCCCUAGCAGGCUUA